Molecule: long non-coding RNA, 111 nt
Organism: Carassius auratus (goldfish)
Lineage: Eukaryota; Metazoa; Chordata; Actinopteri; Cypriniformes; Cyprinidae
Exons: 2
Source: RefSeq, a predicted model, not a curated record
GGAACCAGAAAUAAAACACGAAGAACCAGAAACCUGGAGAAUAAAACACGAGGAACAAGGAGAGUUCAUUGAAGAAAAAGAGGAGAAUGAAGAAUCAAGUGAAGUUGAGGA